AUUGAACGCUGGCGGCAGGCCUAACACAUGCAAGUCGAGCGGUAACAGGGGUAGCUUGCUACCCGCUGACGAGCGGCGGACGGGUGAGUAAUGCAUAGGAAUCUGCCCGAUAGUGGGGGAUAACCUGGGGAAACCCAGGCUAAUACCGCAUACGUCCUACGGGAGAAAGGGGGCUNCGGCUCCCGCUAUUGGAUGAGCCUAUGUCGGAUUAGCUAGUUGGUAAGGUAAUGGCUUACCAAGGCAACGAUCCGUAGCUGGUCUGAGAGGAUGAUCAGCCACAUCGGGACUGAGACACGGCCCGAACUCCUACGGGAGGCAGCAGUGGGGAAUAUUGGACAAUGGGGGCAACCCUGAUCCAGCCAUGCCGCGUGUGUGAAGAAGGCCCUCGGGUUGUAAAGCACUUUCAGCGAGGAAGAACGCCUAUCGGUUAAUACCCGGUAGGAAAGACAUCACUCGCAGAAGAAGCACCGGCUAACUCCGUGCCAGCAGCCGCGGUAAUACGGAGGGUGCAAGCGUUAAUCGGAAUUACUGGGCGUAAAGCGCGCGUAGGUGGCUUGAUAAGCCGGUUGUGAAAGCCCCGGGCUCAACCUGGGAACGGCAUCCGGAACUGUCAGGCUAGAGUGCAGGAGAGGAAGGUAGAAUUCCCGGUGUAGCGGUGAAAUGCGUAGAGAUCGGGAGGAAUACCAGUGGCGAAGGCGGCCUUCUGGACUGACACUGACACUGAGGUGCGAAAGCGUGGGUAGCAAACAGGAUUAGAUACCCUGGUAGUCCACGCCGUAAACGAUGUCGACCAGCCGUUGGGUGCCUAGAGCACUUUGUGGCGAAGUUAACGCGAUAAGUCGACCGCCUGGGGAGUACGGCCGCAAGGUUAAAACUCAAAUGAAUUGACGGGGGCCCGCACAAGCGGUGGAGCAUGUGGUUUAAUUCGAUGCAACGCGAAGAACCUUACCUACCCUUGACAUCUACAGAAGCCGGAAGAGAUUCUGGUGUGCCUUCGGGAACUGUAAGACAGGUGCUGCAUGGCUGUCGUCAGCUCGUGUUGUGAAAUGUUGGGUUAAGUCCCGUAACGAGCGCAACCCUUGUCCUUAUUUGCCA
Molecule: ribosomal RNA, 1095 nt
Filed under: Halomonas sp. BB12b
Lineage: Bacteria; Pseudomonadati; Pseudomonadota; Gammaproteobacteria; Oceanospirillales; Halomonadaceae
Description: bacterial SSU rRNA
Rfam family: Bacterial small subunit ribosomal RNA
Source: RNAcentral